AGAGUUUGAUCCUGGCUCAGGAUGAACGCUGACAGAAUGCUUAACACAUGCAAGUCUUUGGCGAAGUUGUGCUUGCACAGCCUAGCCAAGGCGGACGGGUGAGUAACGCGUAAGGAACUUGCCCUGCAGUCAGGGAUAACAGACGGAAACGACUGAUAAGACCUGGUAAAGUCAGGCGGACUCAUGUCCAGCCUGAUGAAAAGAGAUGCUGCAGGAGAGCCUUGCGUCCUAUUAGCUUGUUGGUGGGGUAACGGCCCACCAAGGCGAUGAUAGGUAGCCGGCCUGAGAGGGUGGACGGCCACAAGGGGACUGAGAUACGGCCCUUACUCCUACGGGAGGCAGCAGUGGGGAAUAUUGGACAAUGGGGGCAACCCUGAUCCAGCAAUUCUGUGUGCACGAUGAAGGUUUUCGGAUUGUAAAGUGCUUUCAGCAGGGAAGAAAAAAUGACGGUACCUGCAGAAGAAGCGACGGCUAAAUACGUGCCAGCAGCCGCGGUAAUACGUAUGUCGCAAGCGUUAUCCGGAAUUAUUGGGCAUAAAGGGCAUCUAGGCGGCCAGAUAAGUCUGGGGUGAAAACUUGCGGCUCAACCGCAAGCCUGCCCUGGAAACUAUGUGGCUAGAGUACUGGAGAGGUGGACGGAACUGCACGAGUAGAGGUGAAAUUCGUAGAUAUGUGCAGGAAUGCCGAUGAUGAAGAUAGUUCACUGGACGGUAACUGACGCUGAAGUGCGAAAGCUAGGGGAGCAAACAGGAUUAGAUACCCUGGUAGUCCCAGCCGUAAACGAUGAUUACUGGGUGUGGGCAUGAAGAGUGUCCGUGCCGAAGCAAAUGCGAUAAGUAAUCCGCCUGGGGAGUACGGCCGCAAGGCUGAAACUCAAAGGAAUUGACGGGGACCCGCACAAGCGGUGGAGCAUGUGGUUUAAUUCGACGCAACGCGAGGAACCUUACCAGAUCUUGACAUCCCGCGUAUGCCUGCGAGAGCGGGCAGUGCCUUCGGGG
RNAcentral lists this ribosomal RNA (998 nucleotides) under uncultured bacterium. Its description in RNAcentral is "bacterial SSU rRNA". It matches the Rfam family "Bacterial small subunit ribosomal RNA", at positions 8 to 1025 of the family's 1533-position model. The record is from RNAcentral.